Non-coding RNA from Desulfosporosinus orientis DSM 765, 118 nucleotides. The record is from Rfam. NCBI's taxonomy places the organism in Bacteria, Bacillati, Bacillota, Clostridia, Eubacteriales, Desulfitobacteriaceae.
GAGGGCAGGUCCCUCGGAAUCGCUAUGCAGGUAGAGGUUCCAAACCACCUUAAGCUGCUUUGGUCAAAAGCCAUGGUGGUGAGCGUUAAGGAAAAGGCGAGGCAUGACUUCGUUAGGU